AAUUCAAGGGUGUGGCGCGAGCUCCUUCGGGAGCGAAGCAAUUGGAAGUGGUUCCAAGAAAAGCCUCUAAGCUUCAGUCUAACGAUGACCGUACCGCAAACCGACACAGGUGGGCGAGAUGAGUAUUCUAAGGCGCUUGAGAGAACUCGGGAGAAGGAACUCGGCAAAUUGGUACCGUAACUUCGGGAUAAGGUACGCCCUUGUAGCUUGACUGGCCUGCGCCAGGAGGGUGAAGGGGUUGCAAUAAACUGGUGGCUGCGACUGUUUAAUAAAAACACAGCACUCUGCAAACACGAAAGUGGACGUAUAGGGUGUGACGCCUGCCCGGUGCCGGAAGAUUAAAUGAUGGGGUGCAAGCUCUUGAUUGAAGUCCCGGUAAACGGCGGCCGUAACUAUAACGGUCCUAAGGUAGCGAAAUUCCUUGUCGGGUAAGUUCCGACCUGCACGAAUGGCGUAACGAUGGCCACACUGUCUCCUCCCGAGACUCAGCGAAGUUGAAGUGUUUGUGAUGAUGCAAUCUACCCGCGGCUAGACGGAAAGACCCCAUGAACCUUUACUGUAGCUUUGCAUUGGACUUUGAACCGAUCUGUGUAGGAUAGGUGGGAGGCUAUGAAACCGGAACGCUAGU
RNAcentral lists this ribosomal RNA (628 nucleotides) under Burkholderia vietnamiensis. RNAcentral's name for it is "partial 23S ribosomal RNA". It matches the Rfam family "Bacterial large subunit ribosomal RNA", at positions 1553 to 2175 of the family's 2925-position model. Lineage: Bacteria; Pseudomonadati; Pseudomonadota; Betaproteobacteria; Burkholderiales; Burkholderiaceae. The record is from RNAcentral.